RNAcentral lists this ribosomal RNA (497 nucleotides) under uncultured bacterium. RNAcentral's name for it is "partial 16S ribosomal RNA". It matches the Rfam family "Bacterial small subunit ribosomal RNA", at positions 28 to 507 of the family's 1533-position model. The record is from RNAcentral.
GAUGAACGCUGGCGGCGUGCCUAAUACAUGCAAGUCGAGCGAACGGACGAGAAGCUUGCUUCUCUGAUGUUAGCGGCGGACGGGUGAGUAACACGUGGAUAACCUACCUAUAAGACUGGGAUAACUUCGGGAAACCGGAGCUAAUACCGGAUAAUAUUUUGAACCGCAUGGUUCAAAAGUGAAAGACGGUCUUGCUGUCACUUAUAGAUGGAUCCGCGCUGCAUUAGCUAGUUGGUAAGGUAACGGCUUACCAAGGCAACGAUGCAUAGCCGACCUGAGAGGGUGAUCGGCCACACUGGAACUGAGACACGGUCCAGACUCCUACGGGAGGCAGCAGUAGGGAAUCUUCCGCAAUGGGCGGAAGCCUGACGGAGCAACGCCGCGUGAGUGAUGAAGGUCUUCGGAUCGUAAAACUCUGUUAUUAGGGAAGAACAUAUGUGUAAGUAACUGUGCACAUCUUGACGGUACCUAAUCAGAAAGCCACGGCUAACUACGUG